Long non-coding RNA from Nothoprocta perdicaria, 247 nucleotides. RefSeq lists it as uncharacterized. The transcript is spliced from 3 exons. NCBI's taxonomy places the organism in Eukaryota, Metazoa, Chordata, Aves, Tinamiformes, Tinamidae. The record is from RefSeq and is a predicted model, not a curated record.
AUAGAGGCCAGGCAGUUCUGCCCCAUGUUUGACACCAGAACUGCUGCCCAAAGGAACGGGCAGGACCAGUAAGAAGAGCAUAUCCUGGUGCAACUACACUGUCCUUGACAUGUGGAGCUACCAGCAAUGGGCUGCUGUGCAGAGGAAACACUGGAUGUUUAACAGGAUGCAGCUGAGUUUGAUGCUGGUGCUUGACUGCUUCCUAGUGCCAGCAGUGAAACUGAGGAACCUGAGUCGACUUCACAGA